AUUGAACGCUGGCGGCAGGCCUAACACAUGCAAGUCGAGCGGAUGAAGGGAGCUUGCUCCUGGAUUCAGCGGCGGACGGGUGAGUAAUGCCUAGGAAUCUGCCUGGUAGUGGGGGAUAACGUCCGGAAACGGGCGCUAAUACCGCAUACGUCCUGAGGGAGAAAGUGGGGGAUCUUCGGACCUCACGCUAUCAGAUGAGCCUAGGUCGGAUUAGCUAGUUGGUGGGGUAAAGGCCUACCAAGGCGACGAUCCGUAACUGGUCUGAGAGGAUGAUCAGUCACACUGGAACUGAGACACGGUCCAGACUCCUACGGGAGGCAGCAGUGGGGAAUAUUGGACAAUGGGCGAAAGCCUGAUCCAGCCAUGCCGCGUGUGUGAAGAAGGUCUUCGGAUUGUAAAGCACUCUAAGUUGGGAGGAGGGGCAGUAAGUUAAUACCUUGCUGUUUUGACGUUACCAACAGAAUAAGCACCGGCUAACUUCGUG
Molecule: ribosomal RNA, 484 nt
Filed under: uncultured bacterium
Lineage: Bacteria
Description: partial 16S ribosomal RNA
Rfam family: Bacterial small subunit ribosomal RNA
Source: RNAcentral